AAAUUGAAGAGUUUGAUCAUGGCUCAGAUUGAACGCUGGCGGCAGGCCUAACACAUGCAAGUCGAACGGUAACAGGAAGCAGCUUGCUGCUUCGCUGACGAGUGGCGGACGGGUGAGUAAUGUCUGGGAAACUGCCUGAUGGAGGGGGAUAACUACUGGAAACGGUGGCUAAUACCGCAUAACGUCGCAAGACCAAAGAGGGGGACCUUCGGGCCUCUUGCCAUCAGAUGUGCCCAGAUGGGAUUAGCUGGUAGGUGGGGUAACGGCUCACC
RNAcentral lists this ribosomal RNA (272 nucleotides) under Salmonella enterica. RNAcentral describes it as "partial 16S ribosomal RNA". It matches the Rfam family "Bacterial small subunit ribosomal RNA", at positions 1 to 269 of the family's 1533-position model. RNAcentral also lists the same sequence under 2 other names. Lineage: Bacteria; Pseudomonadati; Pseudomonadota; Gammaproteobacteria; Enterobacterales; Enterobacteriaceae. The record is from RNAcentral.